Molecule: unclassified non-coding RNA, 210 nt
Filed under: uncultured Tomentellopsis
Lineage: Eukaryota; Fungi; Basidiomycota; Agaricomycetes; Thelephorales; Thelephoraceae
Description: sequence contains ITS1
Source: RNAcentral
AUGAAACGUUUGUCGAGAAGGGUUGUUGCUGGCCUCCAGGGGCAUGUGCACACCCCGAUCGCAUCCACCUCUCACACCUGUGCACAACCUGUAGCUUGGGAUGAUUACGGAACCCUUCGCGGGGUUACGAAUGCCCUUGCUAUGAAUAUUUUACACACACAUAAAGUUUAAUCGAAUGUAAAGUUAUAGCGUCUAAAAGCGCGACAAAUA